CUCUUUUGCUCAUUUAAAAGCCAUGCACCAAUUCAGCAUACAUCUUUGAAGAGUAGUUGAUGCAGACACAUCCUCAUCUGCCAAUUCUGCUACAGGUGUUACUGCUGGAAGAAAAGUGGGACUGGCAACUGGCAUCAAUAACAUCUUAAACUACUGAGAACAGAGCCACCAGCGGUGACUGGUCAAAACCCUGUGACACACGAAGAAUUGCAGUGGAAGCAACUAAAACCCAACAAGUAUAAUGUGGACAACCCUAUUCCAGUUCUGUGUGCCUUUGGGUUUUAGCUGUAAUAUUUGGUUUAUCUACCCACUAUUUUAAAGGUGCUAAGGAUUUGAGUCUGAGCACUGAGAAGUUUACGGUGGGUGUUGUACCAAAUGCAGCAAUGCUUUCCAAAAUCCAUUUAUUUAUUUAUUUAUUUAUGGUACAGUUGGUCAAACAAUGAUGUUAGAAGUUCAUCCGCAAGGACAGAAAGUAGGAAUGCUGGCUGUGUGACAUCUGGCACAUAUACACUGCUGAAUGACUGGAAAUCCUCCUUGGUAUUCCUAUUUCAUCUGAGCGUCUUCGAAAGACACUUCAGGUGCUGAAGUCAGCCAGAGGUUCCAGGAAGGAAACCCUUCACUCUGCGCUGAAAUCACUUCCCAUGUGCACUGCGCACCUGAGGAGAGCCCUGUAACAUCCUGUAUUUCCCUGCACACUCCUUGUGAUGGGGGCACAGGACAAAACUACAGGCAGAGGGAUGCUCUGGGCCUAUGUGUACUCCUCCUGUCCUGAGGCUCCUGGUGCCCAAAAUGUGUCAAUGGAGAGCUGGGGAGAAACUAUGAUGCUGGGCUGGGAAUAUCUAAUUUACCCUUUCUGUGACAGGGAGGGUCAGGUGCAAGCCUGAAAAACAGAAAAGUUCACUUUUAGUGCAUGGUUCUCUACAUGAGCAUCUGAAUUGAGGCAGAGGAAUAAGAAGGGGAAAAAAACCCCACACUAAUAACUACAAGAACAGGAGUAUUAAAGAAAUGAGAUGUGUCUAAGACAGAGUUGGGGAUAAAAAGC
This 1042-nucleotide long non-coding RNA is filed under the name Anser brachyrhynchus (Pink-footed goose). RNAcentral's name for it is "lncRNA (ENSABRG00000004680.1)". Lineage: Eukaryota; Metazoa; Chordata; Aves; Anseriformes; Anatidae. The record is from RNAcentral.